Quercus lobata is the source of this 582-nucleotide long non-coding RNA. RefSeq lists it as uncharacterized. The record is from RefSeq and is a predicted model, not a curated record. Lineage: Eukaryota; Viridiplantae; Streptophyta; Magnoliopsida; Fagales; Fagaceae. The transcript has 3 exons.
AGAUUGUUCCCGCAUUUAGAGUGGUUUGAACCGUUCCUAUGACAGCAUUUUGAUACAAAACCCUCAGAGCCCGGCGCACCCACAAACACUCAGAGCCCGGCGCACCCACAACCUCAAAUCGGAGGCGGUCCCUCUCAUCCAAUCCACUUGUCGGCGCCGCUCUCUAGCUUAUUCUCUUCCAAUCCAUAUUCAAAUCAGCGGCGCACUCAUAUCCAAUCCAACUCGACGGUGCUUCAUCUCUUCCUGUACGACUCGGCGGCCCUUCUUCUCUUCCAUUCUAAAUCGGCGGCGCCACCCACAAUCUUCAGGUAUGAUUGCGGCAUGUAUGUUAUUAAGCACAUGCAUACAAAAAUUAUCAAAUAGAAUCUAACCUUUAUGGAGAGUUGGUCAGAACGUAUUCGAUACAAGUUGGCAUCAAAUCUAGUGCUUUCAAAGGAAAAUGAACAAAGUUCAAAAAUUAUAGAAAAUGCUAGAAAUACUCCACUACAAGAUAUUUUUCGGUCACUAGAAUGACAGUGAUUUGUAUAAUUUGAUAACUGAAUUUUUUGGAAAAUGCUGCAAUUUAGUGAAUUUUAUUUUUAA